This 823-nucleotide ribosomal RNA is filed under the name uncultured cyanobacterium. RNAcentral's name for it is "bacterial SSU rRNA". It matches the Rfam family "Bacterial small subunit ribosomal RNA", at positions 9 to 870 of the family's 1533-position model. The record is from RNAcentral. Lineage: Bacteria; Bacillati; Cyanobacteriota.
GAGUUUGAUCCUGGCUCAGGAUGAACGCUGGCGGUAUGCUUAACACAUGCAAGUCGAACGAAAUCUUUCGGGAUUUAGUGGCGGACGGGUGAGUAACGCGUGAGAAUCUGCCUUCAGGUCUGGGACAACCACUGGAAACGGUGGCUAAUACCGGAUGUGCCGAGAGGUGAAAGGUUAACUGCCUGAAGAUGAGCUCGCGUCUGAUUAGCUAGUAGGUGUGGUAAAAGCGCACCUAGGCGACGAUCAGUAGCUGGUCUGAGAGGACGAUCAGCCACACUGGGACUGAGACUCGGCCCAGACUCCUACGGGAGGCAGCAGUGGGGAAUUUUCCGCAAUGGGCGAAAGCCUGACGGAGCAAUACCGCGUGAGGGAGGAAGGCUCUUGGGUCGUAAACCUCUUUUCUCAGGGAAGAACACAAUGACGGUACCUGAGGAAUAAGCAUCGGCUAACUCCGUGCCAGCAGCCGCGGUAAUACGGAGGAUGCAAGCGUUAUCCGGAAUGAUUGGGCGUAAAGCGUCCGCAGGUGGCUAUGUAAGUCUGCUGUUAAAGAGUCUAGCUCAACUAGAUAAGAGCAGUGGAAACUACAUGGCUAGAGUGCGUUCGGGGCAGAGGGAAUUCCUGGUGUAGCGGUGAAAUGCGUAGAGAUCAGGAAGAACACCGGUGGCGAAGGCGCUCUGCUAGGCCGCAACUGACACUGAGGGACGAAAGCUAGGGGAGCGAAUGGGGAUUAGAUACCCCAGUAGUCCUAGCCGUAAACGAUGGAUACUAGGCGUGGCUUGUAUCGACCCGAGCCGUGCCCGUAGCCUAACGCGUUAAGUAUCCC